CUCGUACGACCCCCUCACCCCCCAAUUUUCUUUCCCCCGUCCCGGUUUUCUCCCCCUGGCCUGCUCCUCACGCCGGCAUCCCGCGCCGCCGCUGCCGAGUGCUCCUCACGCCGGCGUCUCGCGCCGUCGUCCAAAACAACACCACCAUGGAUCCCGAUGUGGAGCUCCACUGCGGCCCGAUCUGACCUGGGAGCGACCAGAUCCGUCCGUCUUCGCCUCGCUCUGCGCGCCUCCAUGGUCCGCCGUCUUCCGGAGCGCCGGCCCGCGCUCAGCCGCCGCCGUCCCAUGCCAUGGUCGCCUCCCUCCAGAACGAUGUGCCAUGGCCGCCUCCCUGGCUCUAUCCGACAGCUCCGUUGGGGAAGCACCAAGAUCCAAACUCCAAGUAUUCGUGGAUACAGGGAACAGUUAUGGUACAAAUAGACUUGAUUGUACUGAUAAUUUUCAGCUUGCACAUGGAUCCCUUAUAGUAUGCAAUCAAGCUUGAUGAUAAAUUCUUGGAGAGACGCUAGGUGCCAGGUAAGGUGACCCAAGACUAUUGCUUUCAGUUAUUCAAUGGUGUUCAUAUGGCAUAUUGCUAUCAGAUAUGCCAUUGCCUGCAGCGGCAAGCUUGAAUUGGUAAGAUGGAUGGGGGGAGAAAAAGAGUCAUUUAACGUAAUUUUGAUUACCGAUGCCUGUAUGAGCAGCUGCUCACUGUGCGCAUGGGAGAGGAGGUCAUGCGUGGAGGCUACUCGGAGAGGACUGGAUGCAUGUCCGUGUCCGCGCACUUGGAGCAGCAGCCAAUGGAUGGUUGGCCAGAGGAGGACCAGGGUUAUCCUAGACCACUUGAGGACAAUAUCAUCAAUUUCUUCCAUAGUGCAAUGCAAGUUCAAAAAUGCAGUUUCUGUUCUAUGCAUUUUUCGAAGUGUAUGUAUGUUGUAACUGAUUAACAAAACAUUGGUCAACCUUCUAUGAGUCCACCUAGAGAGCGGCACAGAUUUGGAACAACUUCCAGAACAGGCAUCCAAGCAUUUGGUCUGGUACCACUAAGCUGCCAGAGCAAGAUAGCUGGGAUGUCGAGUCCAUAGGGCAAUGGUAAAUCACAAAUUGGCUGAUGUUUGAUGGGAAGCAUCAGACAAUACCAAUGUUCAGUAGUAAGAUUUGAUUGUGCAGGUGAUCAACUCAAGUGUGUGUACAUCCCCUGUUAGUCCAGAUUUAGAAAAAUAUGAUUUCUGCUAUGAUAGUUUCCAGAAUAGUUUGGCCCUCGAGACACUUCCACUGUAUGCAUGUGUGUUUCUUUUUUUCAGAGAUAUGCGUCUAUUUAUUAUUA
This is an RNA transcript of Triticum dicoccoides, 1306 nucleotides long. RefSeq lists it as uncharacterized. The transcript is spliced from 4 exons. Lineage: Eukaryota; Viridiplantae; Streptophyta; Magnoliopsida; Poales; Poaceae. The record is from RefSeq and is a predicted model, not a curated record.